GACGGAGGGUGCAAGCGUUGUUCGGAAUCACUGGGCGUAAAGCGCGCGUAGGCGGUCUGUUAAGUGGGAUGUGAAAUCCCCGGGCUUAACCUGGGAAUUGCAUUUCAAACUGGCCGACUAGAGUACGGUAGAGGGAGGUAGAAUUUCCUGUGUAGCGGUGAAAUGCGUAGAUAUAGGAAGGAAUACCAGUGGCGAAGGCGGCCUCCUGGAUCGAUACUGACGCUGAGGCGCGAAAGCGUGGGGAGCAAACAGG
This 253-nucleotide ribosomal RNA is filed under the name uncultured bacterium. RNAcentral's name for it is "partial 16S ribosomal RNA". It matches the Rfam family "Bacterial small subunit ribosomal RNA", at positions 524 to 776 of the family's 1533-position model. The record is from RNAcentral.